Long non-coding RNA from Felis catus (domestic cat), 1983 nucleotides. RefSeq lists it as uncharacterized. Lineage: Eukaryota; Metazoa; Chordata; Mammalia; Carnivora; Felidae. The transcript has 4 exons. The record is from RefSeq and is a predicted model, not a curated record.
UUUACCUAAGAGUUGCAGUCUUGGCUUGUGUGAAUAAUGACAGCAGGACUGUUCAUUAUCAGUCACAUUAUUCUCUUUUAUGAUAGUAUACGUUUCUGAUCCUAUGAACACUUGCCAAAGUUAGCUUAUAAGAGUUUAAGGGGUGCGCUAGUUGGGUUGGUGAUACAAGUAUUCUGGCGUUUUAUUUUCAUUAGUAGUAGUGACUGUAACUAACAUUUGGUAGCAACUGGUUAUUGUGCGAUGUUGUCCGUCAUAAAUACCCAGGGAAAAGCUUUAGGACAGGGGAGUCAGAUGGGUGUAGUUGAAAGGAUUAAUGAAAGCAUUAACACAGUAGUCCCCACUCGUCUGCGGUUUUGUUUUCCGUGGCUUCAGUGACCCAUGGUCCGAAAAUAUUACAUGGGAAAUUCCAGAAUUAAACAAUUUGAAAGUUUGAAAUUACGCGCGCGUGGCUCUGAGCAGCGUGUGGAAAUCUCGCGCUAUCUGCUCUAUCCUGCCCGGGAAGUGAAUCGUCCCUGGCCUGCAGCGCGUGCGAGCUGUGUACGCUGCCCGCCCGCCUGUGUUUUCAGAUCUACUGCUCCGGUAUUGUAGUGCCUGUGUUCAAGUAACCUUCAUUUUACUCAGUGAUGGUCCCAAGGCACAAGAACAGUGAUGGUGGCAAUUAGGAUAUGCCAGAGAGAAGCCACAAAGCUCUCUUAAGUGGAAAGGUGAAAGUUUUCAAUUUCGUAAGGAAAGGAAAACCCAUCGAAUGCUGAGGCUGCAAAGAUCAAAGGACACCUGGGGUCUGCAGAGCACAGUUUGAAAACCCCUGAGCUUGUCCACCUCACCCCACUUUAUAGUUGGUAAAAACCUGGACCCAGACAUAAAGUGACUUAUCAGAAGUCGGGCAAAGAACUUGCAUUGGAAUUGAGAUCCAAUCCCUGGUCUUUGGACUCCAAACAAGAGCAGCAUUGUAGUAGCCAAGUGCCCUGAAGGAUUUGACACGACAGCAAGAGUUUCCAGCUAGAGACAGUUAUUGAGCCAGGUUUUUCAAGAAAUGAUCUGGAACCCCCAGCUUCCGGACAGCCUUCUCUAGAAGGUGGAUAUCGGAAAGGCCUGGCCCUUGAAGUGAGCUGUGAGUCAUGAGCCGUGAUCCGCUACGUCUGCUUUUCUUUCUGUCUGCAUGUCUUUCUGCCUCCCUUAGCUUUCUCCUUCCUUUUAUCAUGAUUUUCUUCCAGCUCUAUUCCCUUUCUCUGCAUUUCUGUCUUGUUAUGGGAGAGCUAUUAAAACCUUCUGUCUCUGGGAAGUUGUGAAGAAUGAUGCAUGGCUAAGCUGUGUUAUCUAGGGAAGCCAUGAAAAUCCCAUCUCUGGAGAGUUUAAAAAGGAGUGUCAAUAUGAGAUGAAUGUAUGUAAUGAUCUGUCUUGAAGAGGCUGGAGCUUGAGUUACAACCAUUCGAGCUGUGGGUGCAACACUCACCCCAUUCCUCACAUCAAAGAUGAAUUCCACCUGUGGAUUCCAGCCUAGGAAAGAAGACGAGACACGGUGUCUCCUUCACUCUUGGUCUCACCCAUAAGCCUUCCUUUUCCUCCAGGAAGCCGGACUUUCCUGUGUUUGCAGGCUUUUUCUGGAGUGGGUUUGAUAUCCGAUGAUAAAGAAGGAAUACUUAGUACUAUGAUAUAAAGGGUUUCCUGUAGUUUGCAUCCUUGUUUGUGCAACAAGUAUUUAUUGAUUGUCUCCUGUGGAAUUGCCUGUCAGGCACUGGGGUUGGGACUGGCUACACAAAGAGAAGUAAGAUGGAUUUUUUCCCCCUAAGAUGCUUACUGUCUAGUGGAGGUAAGACUCACUACAUAAUUUUCAAGUUUGCACAAUUUGUGAGGUACAAAAUGAAAAUUCAGCGCUCUUUGCUGAAAAGUUAUUAAGAAACUCACUAUUUGACAGUAGAACACUAAGCCAGGUAGCCUUCUGUCACACUGCACAGGUAGAAGGCCCAUGAGGCUGGCCGGGAG